AUUGAACGCUGGCGGCAUGCCUUACACAUGCAAGUCGAACGGCAGCACGGGUGCUUGCACCUGGUGGCGAGUGGCGAACGGGUGAGUAAUACAUCGGAACAUGUCCUGUAGUGGGGGAUAGCCCGGCGAAAGCCGGAUUAAUACCGCAUACGAUCUACGGAUGAAAGCGGGGGACCUUCUGGCCUCGCGCUAUAGGGUUGGCCGAUGGCUGAUUAGCUAGUUGGCGGGGUAAAGGCCUACCAAGGCGACGAUCAGUAGCUGGUCUGAGAGGACGACCAGCCACACUGUGACUGAGACACGGCCCAGACUCCUACGGGAGGCAGCAGUGGGGAAUUUUGGACAAAGGGCGAAAGCCUGAUCCAGCAAUGCCGCGUGUGUGAAGAAGGCCUUCGGGUUGUAAAGCACUUUUGUCCGGAAAGAAAUCCUUGGCCCUAAUACGGUCGGGGGAUGACGGUACCGGAAGAAUAAGCACCGGCUAACUACGUG
Molecule: ribosomal RNA, 486 nt
Filed under: uncultured bacterium
Lineage: Bacteria
Description: partial 16S ribosomal RNA
Rfam family: Bacterial small subunit ribosomal RNA
Source: RNAcentral